GUAGGUGGCAAGCGUUGUCCGGAAUUAUUGGGCGUAAAGCGCGCGCAGGCGGUUCUUUAAGUCUGAUGUGAAAGCCCACGGCUCAACCGUGGAGGGUCAUUGGAAACUGGAGAACUUGAGUACAGAAGAGGAAAGCGGAAUUCCACGUGUAGCGGUGAAAUGCGUAGAGAUGUGGAGGAACACCAGUGGCGAAGGCGGCUUUCUGGUCUGUAACUGACGCUGAGGCGCGAAAGCGUGGGGAGCAAACAGGGAUUAGAUACCCUGGUAGUCCACGCCGUAAACGAUGAGUGCUAAGUGUUAGGGGGUUUCCGCCCCCCUAGUGCUGCAGCUAACGCAUUAAGCACUCCGCCUGGGGAUACGGCCGCAAGGCUG
This 372-nucleotide ribosomal RNA is filed under the name uncultured organism. RNAcentral describes it as "partial 16S ribosomal RNA". It matches the Rfam family "Bacterial small subunit ribosomal RNA", at positions 527 to 896 of the family's 1533-position model. The record is from RNAcentral.